This 1269-nucleotide ribosomal RNA is filed under the name Bacillus cereus. RNAcentral's name for it is "bacterial LSU rRNA". It matches the Rfam family "Bacterial large subunit ribosomal RNA", at positions 572 to 1851 of the family's 2925-position model. Lineage: Bacteria; Bacillati; Bacillota; Bacilli; Caryophanales; Bacillaceae. The record is from RNAcentral.
AGUCAGAGCCCGUUAACGGGUGAUGGCGUGCCUUUUGUAGAAUGAACCGGCGAGUUACGAUCCCGUGCGAGGUUAAGCUGAAGAGGCGGAGCCGCAGCGAAAGCGAGUCUGAAUAGGGCGUUUAGUACGUGGUCGUAGACCCGAAACCAGGUGAUCUACCCAUGUCCAGGGUGAAGUUCAGGUAACACUGAAUGGAGGCCCGAACCCACGCACGUUGAAAAGUGCGGGGAUGAGGUGUGGGUAGCGGAGAAAUUCCAAUCGAACCUGGAGAUAGCUGGUUCUCCCCGAAAUAGCUUUAGGGCUAGCCUUAAGUGUAAGAGUCUUGGAGGUAGAGCACUGAUUGGACUAGGGGUCCUCAUCGGAUUACCGAAUUCAGUCAAACUCCGAAUGCCAAUGACUUAUCCUUAGGAGACACACGGCGGGUGCUAACGUCCGUCGUGGAGAGGGAAACAACCCAGACCGCCAGCUAAGGUCCCAAAUUACUACUAAGUGGGAAACGAUGUGGAGUUGCUUAGACAACUAGGAUGUUGGCUUAGAAGCAGCCACCAUUUAAAGAGUGCGUAAUAGCUCACUAGUCGAGUGACUCUGCGCCGAAAAUGUACCGGGGCUAAAUACACCACCGAAGCUGCGGAUUGAUACCAAUGGUAUCAGUGGUAGGGGAGCGUUCUAAGGACAGUGAAGUCAGACCGGAAGGACUGGUGGAGUCUUAGAAGUGAGAAUGCCGGUAUGAGUAGCGAAAGACGGGUGAGAAUCCCGUCCACCGAAUGCCUAAGGUUUCCUGAGGAAGGCUCGUCCGCUCAGGGUUAGUCAGGACCUAAGCCGAGGCCGACAGGCGUAGGCGAUGGACAACAGGUUGAUAUUCCUGUACCACCUCUUUAUCGUUUGAGCAAUGGAGGGACGCAGAAGGAUAGAAGAAGCGUGCGAUUGGUUGUGCACGUCCAAGCAGUUAGGCUGAUAAGUAGGCAAAUCCGCUUAUCGUAAAGGCUGAGCUGUGAUGGGGAAGCUCCUUAUGGAGCGAAGUCUUUGAUUCCCCGCUGCCAAGAAAAGCUUCUAGCGAGAUAAAAGGUGCCUGUACCGCAAACCGACACAGGUAGGCGAGGAGAGAAUCCUAAGGUGUGCGAGAGAACUCUGGUUAAGGAACUCGGCAAAAUGACCCCGUAACUUCGGGAGAAGGGGUGCUUUCUUAACGGAAAGCCGCAGUGAAUAGGCCCAAGCGACUGUUUAGCAAAAACACAGCUCUCUGCGAAGCCGUAAGGCGAAGUAUAGGGG